AGUUUGAUCAUGGCUCAGAGCGAACGUUUGCGGCGGGCCUAACACAUGCAAGUCGAACGCACUAGCAAUAGUGAGUGGCGCACGGGUGCGUAACACGUGGGUAAUCAACCCUUCAGCUUGGGAUAACGACUUGAAAGGGUCGCUAAUACCGGAUACGGCGCGGGAGGCUUCGGCUUCUCACGAGAAAGCCUCGCAAGGGGCACUGAAGGACGAGCCUGCGGCCCAUCAGCUAGUUGGUGAGGUAAGAGCUCACCAAGGCGAAGACGGGUAGCUGGUCUGAGAGGAUGAUCAGCCACACUGGAACUGAGACACGGUCCAGACUCCUACGGGAGGCAGCAGUGGGGAAUAUUGCGCAAUGGGCGAAAGCCUGACGCAGCCACGCCGCGUGAGCGAUGAAGGCCUUCGGGUCGUAAAGCUCUGUGGGGAGAGACGAAGAAAGCCGGUGAAGAGCCGGCCUUGACGGUAUCUCCUUAGCAAGCACCGGCUAACUCCGUG
RNAcentral lists this ribosomal RNA (495 nucleotides) under uncultured bacterium. RNAcentral's name for it is "bacterial SSU rRNA". It matches the Rfam family "Bacterial small subunit ribosomal RNA", at positions 10 to 507 of the family's 1533-position model. The record is from RNAcentral.